GCUGUUUCCUUCCAGAGGAGUGCUGAAAAGACUAAUCCAAUUCCAGAGGAGAUUCUCAAGGAUUUCCUCUCUUCCCAUCCCAGUAAUGCCUUUUCCAUGGUGUUCAACAGUGCGCUCGCUAAUGUUUGUCCUGACCAAAUCUACUCCCUCCACAACCAAAGGUACCCAUAUUGUGCGAUUUUAUUUGUU
Telopea speciosissima is the source of this 189-nucleotide long non-coding RNA. RefSeq lists it as uncharacterized. The transcript is spliced from 3 exons. The record is from RefSeq and is a predicted model, not a curated record. Lineage: Eukaryota; Viridiplantae; Streptophyta; Magnoliopsida; Proteales; Proteaceae.